ACUCAAAUGAAUUGACGGGGGCCCGCACAAGCGGUGGAGCAUGUGGUUUAAUUCGACGCAACGCGAAGAACCUUACCUGGGCUCGAACGGCUUUGGACGGCUCUUGGAAACAGGGGUUUUCCCGCAAGGGACUGAAGUCGAGGUGCUGCAUGGCUGUCGUCAGCUCGUGUCGUGAGAUGUUGGGUUAAGUCCCGCAACGAGCGCAACCCUUGUCCUGUGUUGCAACUAAUAGGCACUCUCAGGAGACCGCCAGCGAUAAGCUGGAGGAAGGUGGGGAUGACGUCAAGUCAUCAUGGCCUUUAUGUCCAGGGCUACACACGUGCUACAAUGGGCGGUACAGACCGCUGCAAACCCGCGAGGGGGAGCAAAUCGGAAAAAACCGUUCUCAGUUCGGAUUGCAGGCUGCAACUCGCCUGCAUGAAGCUGGAAUCGCUAGUAAUGGCAUAUCAGAACGAUGCCGUGAAUACGUUCCCGGGCCUUGUACACACCGCCCGU
Molecule: ribosomal RNA, 495 nt
Filed under: uncultured bacterium
Lineage: Bacteria
Description: partial 16S ribosomal RNA
Rfam family: Bacterial small subunit ribosomal RNA
Source: RNAcentral